Molecule: ribosomal RNA, 253 nt
Filed under: uncultured bacterium
Lineage: Bacteria
Description: partial 16S ribosomal RNA
Rfam family: Bacterial small subunit ribosomal RNA
Source: RNAcentral
UACGAAGGGGGCUAGCGUUGCUCGGAAUCACUGGGCGUAAAGGGUGCGUAGGCGGGUCUUUAAGUCAGGGGUGAAAUCCUGGAGCUCAACUCCAGCACUGCCUUUGAUACUGAAGAUCUUGAGUUCGGGAGAGGUGAGUGGAACUGCGAGUGUAGAGGUGAAAUUCGUAGAUAUUCGCAAGAACACCAGUGGCGAAGGCGGCUCACUGGCCCGAUACUGACGCUGAGGCACGAAAGCGUGGGGAGCAAACAGG